UUAGGCUACUUCAACGCAAAGCUAAUUAAUUCCCUCGGCUUUUUCGGGGGUGGAAUAACCCGUUCCUAGUCACCUGAACCUGUUUGUUGAGAACGGGUCACCAUGGCUUCCUCUUCAUUCGACACCCGAGGUACCCUCUUUGUCCCUGAGUUUACACCAUAUGGGAGUUGCUGUAGGAACACAAUCCUUGGAGGAUUCCCAGCAGGUGCACAGGGUCCUUCACGUGACACCCAGACCUCUGUGGCUACGCUACACACAAAGAAAGACACUGCUUCAUGGGUUUUUGGUGGACUAGGCACAAGGAAUUUUCCAGUGCGUACUAAAAUAUUUAUAUUGUGACACAUGACAAGGAAACACUUUUUCACAAAACCUCUUCAAACUGACGACGUCUGACAGCGUAAAGGAGAGAGUGGCGUUUUUAAUCAGUUUAAGGAGCACAGAGAAGAAAGUUGUGUGUGAUUCUGCUCCUAAACAGAUGCAUUGCAAGGUGUUGAAAGCGAGGCAUCCCUCCAACUUUGCAUAUACAGCUGCAGUCAUACUGUUUGGAUUCCUAGUGUCAUUCUAUGAAGAUGUUGCCAUGGCGAUGGAGGUGACUUCCUCAGGGCCUCAGACUCUGCAGAAGGCCCAGGGGAUGCUGUAACGCUGGGGUGCACCUACACACGCUGGAUCCCUGGACAUCGGGGACCUGGACAUCGAGUGGUCCAUAAUCAGCCCUGACACCACUCAAAAGAUCAGCCAGU
Clupea harengus (Atlantic herring) is the source of this 740-nucleotide long non-coding RNA. The record is from Ensembl. Lineage: Eukaryota; Metazoa; Chordata; Actinopteri; Clupeiformes; Clupeidae.